GGCUCCACACGUCGUUUUUCGACAUGUUUCUUGAGAAUGCCCAGUUAUUUUGCAACGACGACAGUAAAGAGGCAAAUUUUCAAAGACAAAUUCAACAUGGAAUGAUGUAUCCUCACCAUUAAUUAAAAGAGUAGAAGGUAGAUUUUGCGACAUAUCGAUUUCCACAAGGAUUCUAGCGAAUUGUCCGAAGUCACGUCGUGCCGACGCUCCAUCGAU
RNAcentral lists this long non-coding RNA (216 nucleotides) under Salvia miltiorrhiza (redroot sage). RNAcentral describes it as "long non-coding RNA (SMIL_LNC002475)". The record is from RNAcentral. Lineage: Eukaryota; Viridiplantae; Streptophyta; Magnoliopsida; Lamiales; Lamiaceae.